GCUGCUCGUAAGUCCUUGUGGUAUAGUAUCCGGCACCGGUUUCCUAAACCGAAGGUCGGAGGUUCGAGUCCUCCCGGGCGCG
This 82-nucleotide transfer RNA is filed under the name Planctomycetota bacterium. Its description in RNAcentral is "tRNA-OTHER". The stretch from base 12 to 82 matches the Rfam family "tRNA". From Rfam's summary of the family: Transfer RNA (tRNA) molecules are approximately 80 nucleotides in length. Lineage: Bacteria; Pseudomonadati; Planctomycetota. The record is from RNAcentral. RNAcentral also lists the same sequence under 1 other name.